RNAcentral lists this transfer RNA (54 nucleotides) under Pholcus sp. HCP-2014. RNAcentral describes it as "tRNA-Ile". Lineage: Eukaryota; Metazoa; Arthropoda; Arachnida; Araneae; Pholcidae. The record is from RNAcentral.
AAUUAUGUGCCUGAUUAAAGGGUUAAUUUGAUAUAUUAAAUAACGGCAGGAUGU